RNAcentral lists this ribosomal RNA (457 nucleotides) under Metschnikowia pulcherrima. RNAcentral's name for it is "eukaryotic LSU rRNA". It matches the Rfam family "Eukaryotic large subunit ribosomal RNA", at positions 39 to 490 of the family's 3401-position model. Lineage: Eukaryota; Fungi; Ascomycota; Pichiomycetes; Serinales; Metschnikowiaceae. The record is from RNAcentral.
CAUAUCAAUAAGCGGAGGAAAAGAAACCAACKGGGAUUGCCUCAGUAACGGCGAGUGAAGCGGCAAAAGCUCAAAUUUGAAAUCCCCCGGGAAUUGUAAUUUGAAGAGAUUUGGGUCCGGCCGGCYGGGGUUAAGUCCACUGGAAAGUGGCGCCACAGAGGGUGACAGCCCCGUGAACCCCUUUAACGCCRUCAUCCCAGAUCUCCAAGAGUCGAGUUGUUUGGGAAUGCAGCUCUAAGUGGGUGGUAAAUUCCAUCUAAAGCUAAAUACCGGCGAGAGACCGAUAGCGAACAAGUACAGUGAUGGAAAGAUGAAAAGCACUUUGAAAAGAGAGUGAAAAAGUACGUGAAAUUGUUGAAAGGGAAGGGCUUGCAAGCAGACACUUAACUGGGCCAGCAUCGGGGCGGCGGGGAGCAAAACCACCGGGGAAUGUACCUUUCGAGGAUUAUAACCCCGG